Molecule: ribosomal RNA, 453 nt
Filed under: uncultured bacterium
Lineage: Bacteria
Description: partial 16S ribosomal RNA
Rfam family: Bacterial small subunit ribosomal RNA
Source: RNAcentral
GAUGAACGCUGGCGGUCUGCUUAACACAUGCAAGUCGAACGGAAUCCUUCGGGAUUUAGUGGCGGACGGGUGAGUAACGCGUGAGAAUCUGCCUUCAGGUUCGGGACAACAGCUGGAAACGGCUGCUAAUACCGGAUGUGCCGAGAGGUGAAAGCUUUAGUGCCUGAAGAUGAGCUCGCGUCUGGUUAGCUAGUAGGAGUGGUAAUGGCACCCCUAGGCGACGAUCAGUAGCUGGUCUGAGAGGGUGAUCAGCCACACUGGGACUGAGACACGGCCCAGACUCCUACGGGAGGCAGCAGUGGGGAAUUUUCCGCAAUGGGCGCAAGCCUGACGGAGCAAGACCGCGUGAGGGAAGAAGGUCUGUGGAUUGUAAACCUCUUUUGAUGGGGAAGAAGACAGUGACGGUACCCAUCGAAUCAGCCUCGGCUAACUCCGUGCCAGCAGCCGCCGUAA